Molecule: ribosomal RNA, 450 nt
Filed under: uncultured bacterium
Lineage: Bacteria
Description: partial 16S ribosomal RNA
Rfam family: Bacterial small subunit ribosomal RNA
Source: RNAcentral
GUGGGGAAUCUUCCGCAAUGGGCGAAAGCCUGACGGAGCAACGCCGCGUGAGUGAAGACGGCCUUCGGGUUGUAAAGCUCUGUUAUAUGGGACGAACGUAUUUAUGGUCAAUACCCAUAGAUAGUGAUGGUACCGUAAGAGAAAGCCACGGCUAACUACGUGCCAGCAGCCGCGGUAAUACGUAGGUGGCAAGCGUUGUCCGGAAUUAUUGGGCGUAAAGGGCGCGCAGGCGGCCUGUCAAGUCUGUCUUAAAAGUGCGGGGCUCAACCCCGUGAUGGGACGGAAACUGGCAGGCUGGAGUGUCGGAGAGGAAAGCAGAAUUCCUAGUGUAGCGGUGAAAUGCGUAGAUAUUAGGAGGAAUACCAGUGGCGAAAGCGGCUUUCUGGACGACAACUGACGCUGAGGCGCGAAAGCCAGGGGAGCAAACGGGAUUAGAAACCCUGGUAGUCC